Long non-coding RNA from Arachis ipaensis, 1545 nucleotides. RefSeq lists it as uncharacterized. The record is from RefSeq and is a predicted model, not a curated record. NCBI's taxonomy places the organism in Eukaryota, Viridiplantae, Streptophyta, Magnoliopsida, Fabales, Fabaceae.
UAGAACAGAGCACUACUGUAAUCCCUCUUCUCCGAUCGCUGUCAUCGUGUUCCUUGCUGCUAGAGCUAGGGCCUUGUUCUUUCUGCUCUGCUUCGCGGUGUUCAUCUGCUCAUGCCGUUCUGAAACUUCUGCUCUGGUUGGCGUUCUGAAACCUUUGCUCUGCUCCGCCGUGGUGCCGUGCUCUGUCGUCUCAAGCAAAUCGAGAACUAUCCGCCGUUCACCUCUUUCUCUCAAGCCUCUCGCAUCAUACUCAAUCCUUAGUGGUGACUAGGGGUGUUCAAAACCGAUCCGGACCGAACUAAACCGAAGGAUCAAACCGAAAAAACCGAAAACCGAAUUAAUCAAAAACCGAAAAAACCAAAAAAAAACGUUGUUUUGCUGUUUUUUGCAGUUCGGUUCGGUUUUUGGUUCUUACCACCAAAACCCUAACCGAACCGAACCGAAUCGGUUCUACAAAAACCCUAAAAAUUAAAAACUACCUACCCCACCCCCCCCACCCCCCUGGAAACCUAACCCCCAAAUCCCAGAUCGGAGCCAGCCUGAGCCACCAUAUCUCACCCUCUGCUGCCUGCGCACCCACUCACCCAGCCACGGAGCCAGCCUGAGCCACCCACGUCCUUGAGUCUCGAAGCCUUCCUCCAAAUCCCACCGCCGAAGAGAGCAGAUCCCCCACCGCCGGUACACCACGAAGACGAAGACCCAGCUCAACACAGCACCUCGCCUGGCUCGCCACCACCCAGUCACCCACUGACCCAACAGCCACAGGGCAGCACAGCAGACAGCACCGACGGGCGACGAUCAACACAGGACCUUCGACCUCGCCACCUCCGACCUCGCCGCCUCCACCCAGCAGCGUUUCUGGGUUCUGGGUUUAGGGUCACCCACGAUCAAGACACUGAAGACAGCACCUCCCAGUCUCCCACCCAGCCACCGAUUCAAGUGAAUAUGGAGCCCGAGCCAUCUAUUCAGUUUGGGGCUGAUGUGAUGGAAGUAGUUGCAUCUUGGACAAAAGCCUUGUGCGUUGACAUCUCUCAAGGCCGCAUACCAAAUCAUGUUGAUGAUGUUAAAGCUGAAGCUAGUGAAUUAGGAAAUAAAGUUUUGUCUAGUUGAAGUGUACUUGACAUUGGGACAGGCAAUAGUUUGCUUCUCCAAGAAUUAGCUAAACAAGGGUUCUCUUAUUUGACUGGUACGGAUUAUAAUGAAGGGGCCAUCAGCCUUGCUCAAAGCGUUGCUAAUCGGGAUGUAUUUUUUUUGAAUUGAUUGAAAAAACCGAACAAACCGAACUGAAUCAAACUGAUUUUAAUUGGUUUGGUUUGGUUCGGAUGGCUUCGAUAAAAAAAUCGAACCAAACCGAACCGCAGUUUAAUUACACGAUCGAAUCGGAUGACUUUUUCCUCAAAAAUCGAAUCAAACCGCACCGCGAACACCCCUAGUGGUGACCACACAGUAAUGAUAAUUGAUUGUGAAACUUGAUAGCUUAAUAAGCUAAUCACAAAGUAUUAAACUAUUAAUCUUAUUAUGAUCAUGUGAUAAUUUCUUGCUAAA